AUUGAACGCUGGCGGCAGGCCUAACACAUGCAAGUCGAACGGUAACAGGAAGCAGCUUGCUGCUUCGCUGACGAGUGGCGGACGGGUGAGUAAUGUCUGGGAAACUGCCUGAUGGAGGGGGAUAACUACUGGAAACGGUAGCUAAUACCGCAUAACGUCGCAAGACCAAAGAGGGGGACCUUCGGGCCUCUUGCCAUCGGAUGUGCCCAGAUGGGAUUAGCUUGUUGGUGGGGUAACGGCUCACCAAGGCGACGAUCCCUAGCUGGUCUGCGAGGAUAACCAGCCACACUGGAACUGGGACACGGUCCAGACGCCUACGGGAGGCAGCAGUGGGGAAUAUUGCACAAUGGGCGCAAGCCUGAUGCAGCCAUGCCGCGUGUAUGAAGAAGGCCUUCGGGUUGUAAAGUACUUUCAGCGGGGAGGAAGGGAGUAAAGUUAAUACCUUUACUCAUUGACGUUACCCGCAGAAGAAGCACCGGCUAACUCCGUGCCAGCCGCCGCGGUAA
RNAcentral lists this ribosomal RNA (506 nucleotides) under uncultured bacterium. RNAcentral describes it as "partial 16S ribosomal RNA". It matches the Rfam family "Bacterial small subunit ribosomal RNA", at positions 30 to 523 of the family's 1533-position model. The record is from RNAcentral.